Non-coding RNA from Pelobates cultripes (western spadefoot toad), 237 nucleotides. NCBI's taxonomy places the organism in Eukaryota, Metazoa, Chordata, Amphibia, Anura, Pelobatidae. The record is from the annotation of a GenBank genome assembly.
CAGAAGGUGGGACAACAGGAGUGGGAGGCGUCUGGGGGCGGGAUGGCAAACAAGGAGGUAACAAGGGAGGUACUAGAGACUGGGAUUGGGUUUGGUAACUGGACUGGCAUUGGGUUCUGGGGAGGGACCGGAUCUGGGGAGGAGAACGGCCGUGGCAAAGGGGCAUGGGGAAAGAGAUGCAAUGGCAAUGGAUAGUAAUAGGUACCAUCGGCUCCAAGCACGGGACACAAAGGGGUG